RNAcentral lists this ribosomal RNA (392 nucleotides) under uncultured bacterium. RNAcentral's name for it is "partial 16S ribosomal RNA". It matches the Rfam family "Bacterial small subunit ribosomal RNA", at positions 523 to 918 of the family's 1533-position model. The record is from RNAcentral.
AUACGGAGGAUCCGAGCGUUAUCCGGAUUUAUUGGGUUUAAAGGGAGCGUAGGCGGGAGCUUAAGUCAGCGGUUAAAUGGUGCGGCUCAACCGUGCCCUGCCGUUGAAACUGGGUUUCUUGAGAGUGCAAGAGGCGGAUGGAAUUCAUGGGGUAGCGGUGAAAUGCUUAGAUAUCAUGAAGAACUCCGAUUGCGAAGGCAGUCCGCUGGGGCACGUCUGACGCUGAUGCUCGAAGGUGCGGGAAUCAAACAGGAUUAGAUACCCUGGUAGUCCGCACGGUAAACGAUGAUUACCCGCUGUCGGCGGCAGACAGUCGGCGGCCAAGCGAAAGCGAUAAGUAAUCCACCUGGGGAGUACGCCGGCAACGGUGAAACUCAAAUGAAUUGACGGGG